UGUGGGAAGGGGACAAGGGGGGGGCGCCGCGGGAGGGGGGAGGGGGUGGUGGAAAAACACACUGUGCACCAGGCACAAUUUGGCCCAGCUACGCCUCUGGACCCUAGGGUUUUUAAGGUAAAAGGUGGCUUGCCUUUGCAAUCCUAGACUUCCUUGGUGGUCUCUCACCCAAGUUCUAACCAGGGCUGACGGGUUAACUCCCAUGAUCUAAUGAGAAUGAGAUCAUGGGCAGCCUUGACCUUAGUGAAACAAGGAGAAGAGAGGAACUGCUAACAAAUAUUUGAUAGGAGCACAAGUGCUUUUGAAUGAAAAAGAAAGACAGAGCUGCUAAAUGAUAACAGCGCUUAGUUCCUGUAUACUUUUUCAGCCAUUCAAGCCAUUGGUCUUUGCAGUUUGUUGAAAUCAACAACAGUAGCACCUUUUCUAGAUGCAAGAAGCUCUUCAGCCUCCUGCAUCAGGGUAGUGUGGUUUGCAUCAGAAGAAGGUACAGCUGUAGUGCAUUAUAUCCAUCAUUUAAACACCCUGCAAAUAGAUUUGACUUGGGGCAAAGCGGCUUGCCUAAGGACCUCUGAUGCCCUUUGUCACACAGCAUAUGUGCUUCAUGUGAGAACAGGGCUUGUAAUGUUACAUUUGAAGUGCAGGAACAUGUACAUGGUAUGGUGCUGUCACAAGAGGAUGGUAACAUGGAUCAUGGAGGUGGGAAAAAAUGAUAAACUACGUAUCAGCUUUUUUUUUAAUGUUCAAGUUAUUAAACACGAAUCUGAAAAAUAUGCCUGUUGCUCCGAGACCCGUGUGGAGUCCAGAGGAAGGCAUAGAUUGAACGCCAGGCCCAGUCAGGCCAAACCCAGUGUUCAACUGAGGACUCAGCCAGGCCAGGUUAGCUUUAAACUGCAGGCUUCAGAGGUGGAACCCACAGUUUAAAGCAGGAUGCAGCCAGACCGAAUCCAGUGUCAGACUAAGGACUUGGUUUGGCAGGGUCCAGCAUUGAACUGUGGACUCUGCAGGCAGUUCAAUGUGGGACCUGGCCAGAAUGCAGGUUACUCCUGCCAGGAAUCGGUGCCGCAGAGCCCCCCACAAUGGCAGCCCACACUGACCAAUCCUGCUGCUGAACGCCCGUGACAUCUACUCUGGGGAAAAAAGAAUGCUGUUUGCAAAGCGCAACCGUGCGAAGCGCAGGGGUUCUGCCGAUGUACUACCUGUCUCCGAGGCCCACCCAUGCGAACACUCUGUUGCUGCAACAUUGCCAAGAACACCGAUGGAACAACGCUGUAAUUGACUGUGCAGAAACAGCCUUAUGGUGACCACAGCAAGGGACCUUCAUGGCAAGUGAGAAGCAGAAGUGACAUUUGUUUGCCAUUGUCUUCUGCUGAGCUUUCCUUGGUGGCCUGCCUUCCAAGUACCAACCCUGAUCAGCUUCCAAGAUCUGAUGAGAUCCCACUGGUACUCAAAGUGGACAGUAUCAUUCUCUGGAGUCAGUGGGAUUAUCUAAGAGGCGAGUGGGCAGUGGGGUGGUGGUGCUGCUAGUGUUCUGUUCACUUAUGUACAGCUGCCCAGGCCAGAACCUAGAUGCUAGAAAAUGGCACCCCAAGUUUCUGGCUCUAUAUAGUACUGAAAUUCAGUGGAAAUAUAUUUGAGUUUUUAGUGAAGGAAGAACUAAUUGAACUACAAAAUGACAUUGAGUUGAAGCCAAAGUUUAUGAAAUUGUACCAGGAGUUUGGGUAACAGAAGGAAAUUUGUGAUCACUAUCCUGCACCCCAGACAGCAGAUGCAUUUCCAACUUCAUAUUUGGUGGAACGUGGUUUUUGUGUGGUCAUCCAUCUUCUCUCCAGAAGCAAACUCCAGAAGACUCCUGCUGCGUGACUUUAAGCCAGGCAUGGGGAAUUUCUUAUCACUUCAUGAAGUCCAUCCAUCACCUUAACAAUUUACUGAACAUCGAAGCAGUUACGAAAUGCGGUCUCUUAAGUUUCUUGUGAAAUGACUACCAGACUUUGAAAGCUGGUAUCACUGGAUCAAGUUCAUCGAUUUUCUUUUACUGGGAUUUUGAAUAAAUGUGCAAUUGAAAGUGCAGUCCUGGGGUGAAACCACUCUGCAGGCAGCGUGACCCCAGCGCCACCAUAAAUGCCAUUUCUGCCAGUGUUAGGGGUGUUCAUGCCAGUGCAGAGGCUCUUACACCAGUGCUGAGGAGCCAUGCAGCAGCACUAUGUUUGGGUUCCAGUGCCACCGCGGUACCAGCACUCCUCUGGUUCAGGAGUCCAUGCUGGCACCAAAGGUGGCAUUCCAGGGUGCAAAGGCAGCUUUAGUUGGCUUCUUGGGUCAUUUUGAUCCAGGAAUGCCCCCAUUUGCUGGCUCAGGGUUAUACCAGCAAAAUCAGUGAUGCGACCCACUGAGCUGUGUCAGCCACGCUCAUGGGGAAAGUGGUUACUUUCCGCUUCUUGUUCACGGCCCAGUAAACCUCUUCGGAGGUGAUACAGCUGUGCCAUGGCUGCGCCAUUACUAUUUUAAAUGUUAUUAUUAUCUUCCUUAGUGAAUUAUGCAAACUGCUGUUUUAAAUUAUGGUUUUUAACUUUUUUUUUUUUAGUUUUUGCUCUCUGACAGCAGGCAGGCGUGUUCCAAAGAAUUUACUUCUCCUCUACUGAACACAUAAAGACUUACUUCUGAGUAUAUGUGAAUAGGUUUGGGUUGAUACACUCCUUCUGGGAUGGCACGGACAUGCUUGAUGAACCAGUACAGGAAGACACCUUGUGAGGUCGGUGGGGCUGAGAGAGUUCUGAGAGAACUGUGACAAGCCCAAGGUCACCCAGCAAGCUUCAUGUGGAAGAGUGGGAAAUCAAACCUGGUUCACCAGAUUAAAGUCUGCUGUCUUUAACCACUUCACCAUGCUGACUGUCCCUGCAUUUUCCCCUUGUGCUAUGGGUAAUUAUUUCAUAGUUGUAGCUCUGUUUGCUUUAUGCUUCUGCUGUGGUUUGAAAUUGUUUUAUCAAUUAUUUGAUAAAAUUGUUUUAUCAAUUGAAA
Molecule: long non-coding RNA, 3012 nt
Organism: Sphaerodactylus townsendi
Lineage: Eukaryota; Metazoa; Chordata; Lepidosauria; Squamata; Sphaerodactylidae
Exons: 2
Source: RefSeq, a predicted model, not a curated record